UGGCCCAUUUGGACGCACUCUUUGCCUCCGGUUCAGUUGUUGCUGCAGCUGCUGUGCUGACUCAUUGCCCCAGUAGCCAGCAGAAACUGGGGGCAUGGGCUCCUCAGGGACUUCAACAAGCUGGGGGCUUCUGGAUUACAAGACAGAGAAGUAUGUGAUGACCAGGAACUGGAGGGUGGGUGCCUUGCAGAGGCUGCUACAGCUCGGGAUUGUGGCCUACGUGGUGGGAUGGGCCCUCCUUGCCAAAAAAGGCUACCAAGAACGGGACCUGGACCCCCAGAUUUCUGUCAUCACCAAACUCAAAGGGGUUUCUGUGACUCAGAUCAAGGAGCUUGGGAACCGGCUAUGGGACGUGGCUGACUUUGUGAAACCACCACAGGGAGAGAACGUGUUCUUCUUGGUCACCAAUUUCCUUGUGACGCCAGCUCAAGUUCAGGGCAAAUGCCCAGAGCACCCCUCUAUCCCACUGGCUAACUGCUGGGUCAAUGAAGACUGUCCUGAAGGGGAGACAGGGACACACAGCCAUGGCAUAAAAACAGGUCAGUGUGUGGUGUUCAACGGGACCCACAGGACUUGUGAGAUCCAGAGCUGGUGUCCAGUGGAGAGUGGUACUGUGCCCAGGAGGCCCCUGCUGAUCCAGGCCAAGAACUUCACGCUGUUCAUCAAAAACACUGUCACCUUCAGCAAAUUCAACUUUUCUAAGACCAAUGCCUUAGAUACCUGGGACACCGCCUAUUUCAAGCACUGUCGCUAUGAUGCACUCUCCAGCCCCUACUGCCCAGUAUUUGGCAUAGGAGACCUUAUAGCCGCAGCUGGUGGGGACUUUGAGGACCUGGCAUUGCUGGGUGGUGCUGUGGGCAUCAGCGUCCACUGGGAUUGUGACCUGGAUACUGGGGGCUCUGACUGCUGGCCCCAUUACUCCUUCCAGCUGCAGGAGAGGAGUUACAACUUCAGGACAGCCAGUCACUGGUGGAAAGCCCCAGGUGUGGAAGCUCGGAGCCUGCUCAAGCUCUACGGGAUCCGCUUUGACAUUCUUGUCACUGGGCAGGCAGGGAAGUUUGGGCUCAUCCCCACAGCCAUCACAGUGGGCACUGGAGCUGCUUGGCUAGGUGUGGUAAGUACAACUACCACGGAUAGGCUCCCUCUGGCUACAGUGAGCACCUGCCUGGGUCUGCCAGAGCCCUCUGAGCCUGCACGUUGUAUCUCAGUGUGGGGUUUGGGUGGUGGCAGGAGAAGUUGGGGAACCAGGACAUGGUGGGCCCUGACUCUCCCAGAUCACCUUCCUCUGUGACCUGUUGCUACUGUAUGUGGAUAGAGAAGCCCAUUUCUACUGGAGUACAAAGUAUGAGGAGGCAAAAGCACCAAAGGAGGCUACCAAUCCUGAGUGGAUCACAUCGGCUUUCACACCAUCAAGCCCCACUGCCCAGGUGCCUUAGACAGUGCCAGCACCUGCCCUCAUGGUUGCUGCUGCUGGGAGCCAGACAUGGUUGCUGGAGUGGUUCUGUCUGGGCUCUGGGACUCACUCUGAUUAUUCCUGAGGCCUAUAGCACUCCCUGUUGGUUGGGGGUUGGAGGCUGGGAAGGAUGGAGGUCCUGACUUGGGGACCUUAAGGAUGAGAAGUCUAACAGAACUGGAGUAGGGAAUGGAGGGAUAAUUUAACUCUUAAAGUCCCAGGAAGAUUUUUCCCUCCUGAGUCCAGCCUUAGUAGGGUAGCCAUGGAAGCCAGUUUUGUUUAGAGACAUAUGUAGAACACAAGCCAUGGAGGUGGGGUGAGUUUGGGACAUCGUCAUUACAUCAUAGAAAGAGGUCCCACAUAUGCUCAGCUUACACCCACCUGUCAGUUCCCUGUGACAGUCUUUGGGCUUUGAAGGGCUGAAACAGGGAGAAGAGGACAAUGGGACUAAAUUGGUGGGCACUGAGUCUUUGGGUUCUUCUAAAUAUUCCUUUGGAGAUCAGCCAGCCUAACCCCCUGGAAUCUGAUCAACAGGUUUCCCAGGAGUCCUGGAGGUAGGGAGGUUGUAUAUCUGGAAUUUACUGCCAUCUAAGUCAUACCUAGUAACCUGUCUGGGUACCUGCCCACCCUAGCCUGAGGCAUAUGUAUGCAGGAGGCCCUAACCCUGACCCCAGGCAGAGAACAGUGGCUGUAAGGAAUGUCCCUAAUAGAGGACACUGAGGUCCCUUGAAGGCUGGACAGGUUCUGGUUGUGUAAUCUUCCUGGGGGGCCUAAAUUCUGCCUGAUGGAGAUUUUCCCUAGGGCCCAAGGUCAGGAUGGGAGGAUUAGGGCUGCAGGAACCAAGACCUCUCUUGGUCCUGGGUAUGGCAGGGAUUUGGGAAUACUCACCUAAGGGAGGUGAAGGGUUGCUUUAUAAUGGAUGCCUUUAUCAUGAGAAGGUCAAGGCUAAGGCUGAAGUUGGACUAGCCCCUGGAGUCAUCUGGCCUCAGUCCUUGGGGGUCCCUGUUGCCUCUCAAUCCCCAGGGCAGUAGUUCCACGGGCAGGUGGGCUCCGAAGGGGUAGACUGGGAAGGCAUGGCUCAUGAAGCCUGAUUAUCAGAGGUGAAUCACAUGUUCCUGAUUGUUCUCAAGGUCCAGAGAAAGCUGACGUCACUGUUGGAGUAAAGCUUGCAAAAGCCAGAAGCUUCCUAUGUGGUCCUUACAAGGAAAAAUGGGAAGGGGGAUGCAACUACAGUAGGCAUAGGACAGUCAGGGAGCCCCAGUGGAGGGUAUAGUGUGGAUCUAGGGCCUUUCUUGGAACUCUGUCCUUCCCAGGUUAGGGCUCCCAUAAUCCACCAAGUGGACUGGAAGGUAGUGAGGGCAAGCCCAAGUUCUUAUGCAUCUGUGAACAUCCAUGUGAAUUAAUCAUAUGUGCACCAUCUCCAGUCUUCAUUUCAAAACGCUGGCAGAGUGUGCAGAGAGAGACAAGUGAGCUGUGGGCUGUGCCUGAGU
Molecule: RNA transcript, 2943 nt
Organism: Sciurus carolinensis (gray squirrel)
Lineage: Eukaryota; Metazoa; Chordata; Mammalia; Rodentia; Sciuridae
Gene: P2rx6
Gene name: purinergic receptor P2X 6
Exons: 11
Source: RefSeq, a predicted model, not a curated record